Long non-coding RNA from Athalia rosae (coleseed sawfly), 1578 nucleotides. RefSeq lists it as uncharacterized. NCBI's taxonomy places the organism in Eukaryota, Metazoa, Arthropoda, Insecta, Hymenoptera, Athaliidae. The transcript is spliced from 2 exons. The record is from RefSeq and is a predicted model, not a curated record.
AUCAAAUACAAACCGUAACCAUACUGAGAAUACUUUCUUAUGAACUUCGUUGCAAAUAUCCGGGAUGAAUGAUGAAAUCAAAUUCGUUAGAAAUAAUUAUUUUGUUCGAGGUAUUGUCGCCUGACAAUGCUAUCGCACAUGCAAUCAAGUCUUCUAUCACAUGCUGAAAAUUCAUAAAUGCUGGACGAUGCAAAAUUCAUAAUUCUCUUUGAUAUUUUCUAGAAGGGGAUGAGACCAACGAGACGGCUCAGAUAUCCCGGAUGUACACCACCGUCACAAUCAAUCGCCAUUGGUAUGCCGAUUUGCAUGAGGAUACCAAUUACGUCAACGAAAAGAUACCGUUCUUAUUUUCGACGCAUAUUUGCGUGGGGCUUCUUAUCGUCACCAUCCUAGUUUUUUAUUUAUGAUCACUCACUGUCGUAACAUGUGAGCCGUAGUUUUCCACCGUAUCGUUCCGCGAUGGUUCAUUCAGUGGCAAAAGUUUAUUCGAACAGGUGGUGCGAUCACCUCCGUUCGAAAUUACGCUGUUUCGCUUCACGCUGUUACCAGAUGAUCGAAUCAUGGAACGGUUGACAAUCAGCGUUGUUGUUGAUCCUACAAAUAAUCCAUAGAAAUUUCUCUUCAAUUCCGACCAGAUGCAAACGGUUCAUCUAUCGCGUAUGAUCGGGCAAUAUAAUUCAACAUUCCUUUUUCAUGCAAUUUUACGGGCGUGAGUGUGACAUCGAUGUUUCAUUAUUUUCCCCUUGUAUUCAGUUAGAGGAGGAGGUUUACAUCUGACUCAAGAUGUGAUCAUUCGCAAUCAUACAUUGACUCGUUGGUAAUCCGCAAUUAACAGCGGCAAUGAUGUAUCCGCGUCGUCAUAAACAGGAGUUCCAAGAUUUCCUGGCUUACAUUAUCUGGUUGGUAAUUAAAGAGUACCGAAGUGUCCCAAUUGUGUCCAGCUGAUUUAUGUUGGAGGGUGAACCACGUACUGCCCUCGUGUGCAGAUUGGUUUUCGGUGCCAAAAAUUACCAUCUUCGUCAACUGUUCCGAACUUGAAAAUAUUUCGACGAAUUUGUUUUUCGACGGACAAUCCAAUGCUUUCAUUCUCCAGAUGAUUCCAACGGUGAUUCGAGUCGCAGAAACUCACAAGUGAACCUUCGACUUCGCUCAUGACGCCGAAGAGCCAAAGUGAGUAGAAAUCGUUCGAGAGUGAAAUCGAAAGUGAUUUUACUAUGGGUAAAACGACCGAGAGCGAAAGUGAGCCUGAUCCUGACCUCAGACGUUGAGGACGCGAUCAACCUCCAAGGAGAGAUCUGCCUGGAAAAGAAGGACAGUGAGGAGAGCCAGAUAGAAAUCGAAGUUGGGUCAGGUCAGUUUUCUGAGAGGGAAAGUGAAAUCGGAACGACGCGGGAAUAAGGCCCAGAAAUUGAGGGCGUCAAAGUGGGGAACUGGAACUCGGACCCAUGGCGUUUCACUUUCAUUUUCCAUCGUACAAAACGCCAGCAAGUAGAGCCUCUGUACUUCAAGUCGUGUAUGUACUUUAAGAAGACUCUGCCAGAUCCCAUCUGCUAUGAAAAAAAAAUAAUCCCUGAAAAA